CCCUCUCCCGAUCUCAACCCUCCCUCGAUCUCCCUCUCCCUCGAUCUCCCUCUCCCGAUCUCAACCCUCUCUCUCGAUCUCCCUCUCCCGAUCUCAACCCUCUCUCUCACUCUCCCUCUCACUCUCCCUUCCUCUCUCGAUCUCCCUCUCCCUACAACAUCAACCAUUCCACGACAGUCCCCACACAUGGGGUAUCUAAUAUUGUAGAAGCAGCAGCAGCAACUCCAUAUGGGGUGUGUGAUCUGUCGUCCACGGUUGAAUGGGGAAGACUGAAGGGAGGGAGUGAGUGCAGCAGCAGCAGCAACAACAACGGAUUCCUAGAAAACUACAAGGACCGAUUUCUUGCUGCUUUUCCAGCACCUCGUUGAGCAAGUGUUGACUUCAGUCGGCCUGUUUUCACAGCCACUGCAUUCUACUUGUGUGCAAAAAGGCACAAGGUAGCUAAUCAUUGAAAUCCUUUCUUCUCUUUCCAUUUCAACCUGCCUGAUUUUUUAAAAUGUUUCUUACGCUUCAGUGUUUACUUGUUUUGCAGCUUAAAGUAGACAAGAUUAAGCUUAUUGAGCUAUGUGGCACAUCAGAAUCUGAAUUUACUAGUGUUUUCCUGCAUCAAUUUUCUCAUAAGAUGUUGCUUCUUGUGCAACAGAUUCUGAAUAUAAUCAUAUUUGUUGAAGUCCACUUCUCUUGUUGUAGAUAAGAACCUACUGAAUCAGAAUGUCGUCAUUAAGUAACAAAACAUGGAUGGACAAACAUAGGUUAAGUCCAGAAUAUUUGGAUGGACUUGUGCAUUUUAUUGAGUUUACAAAGAACAACGGUGGUGGAUUUGAUCAUUAUUCGUGUCCGUGUGUGAAAUGUAGAAAUGGGAGUGGGAUGUUCACUCUUGGAGAGAUUUAUGAGCAUUUGCUCAUUAACGGUAUGGAUAAGUCAUACACACAUUGGAUUUUUCACGGUGAAAGUCUUGUGAAAAGUAACGAGAAACCAUCAUCAUCGACGUUUGAUGAUCAAUCCGAUGAUGAGUAUCCUAGAAUGGAGGAACUUGUUAAUGAUGCAUUUAGAAAUAUUGGAGAACAUGCUGAUACUCUU
Long non-coding RNA from Magnolia sinica, 1080 nucleotides. RefSeq lists it as uncharacterized. The record is from RefSeq and is a predicted model, not a curated record. The transcript has 5 exons. NCBI's taxonomy places the organism in Eukaryota, Viridiplantae, Streptophyta, Magnoliopsida, Magnoliales, Magnoliaceae.